GCCGAGCUCAGUAGCGAGAGCUUGUAACCCAUGUGGGGGCAUCAGGUGGUGUGGAUGAUCGGUGCUGAAUUUGGGCCUGGGUCCAUGUGUUGUUAACUAUGCUGGCUUGCGUAGUGGGUGGAGGGGCUUCGGCGAAAGCCUUGGUCUCUCCGGCCCUGAAGUUGGCAGACACGGCGUGAGGCUGGCUUCACAGAGCAGCGAUCACUGCCCGCUUCCAACGGUGGAAGGAUAACAGGCCGCUGCACCAUGGGCCCGCUUCUGGCCCCACUAUUACAGACCACCAUCAUU
RNAcentral lists this signal recognition particle RNA (288 nucleotides) under Oryza sativa Japonica Group (Japanese rice). RNAcentral describes it as "SRP RNA Plant_SRP". It matches the Rfam family "Plant signal recognition particle RNA". Lineage: Eukaryota; Viridiplantae; Streptophyta; Magnoliopsida; Poales; Poaceae. The record is from Rfam by way of RNAcentral.